GACGAACGCUGGCGGCGUGCUUAACACAUGCAAGUCGAGCGGUAAGGCCCUUUCGGGGGUACACGAGCGGCGAACGGGUGAGUAACACGUGGGUGACCUGCCCUCAGCUCUGGGAUAAGCCUGGGAAACCGGGUCUAAUACUGGAUAUGACUCCAUGACGCAUGUUGUGGGGUGGAAAGCCUUGUGCGGCUGAGGAUGGGCCCGCGGCCUAUCAGCUUGUUGGUGGGGUGANGGCCUACCAAGGCGACGACGGGUAGCCGGCCUGAGAGGGCGACCGGCCACACUGGGACUGAGACACGGCCCAGACCCC
This 310-nucleotide ribosomal RNA is filed under the name uncultured bacterium. RNAcentral describes it as "bacterial SSU rRNA". It matches the Rfam family "Bacterial small subunit ribosomal RNA", at positions 28 to 339 of the family's 1533-position model. The record is from RNAcentral.